This 5748-nucleotide long non-coding RNA is filed under the name Ovis aries (sheep). RNAcentral's name for it is "lncRNA (ENSOARG00000026896.1)". Lineage: Eukaryota; Metazoa; Chordata; Mammalia; Artiodactyla; Bovidae. The record is from RNAcentral.
UGUAGUGUUCUGGCUGGUCCUUGGGCCAGCUUCCCUCCUUCUCUGCCCGGGGCUUUCUUGCGUGUUCUUCCCAAGGCUUCAGAAACCUUGAGCGCACUAUCCAAGCGGCCAUCUCUUUCCUGGAUCUCCAGAGUGGUGAUUUCAAGCAGUCACCCCAGACUCAAGUUCCCCAGGUCUCUGCUAUCAGAUCAGCCUCCUGCCUGGCCCCCGCAUGUGCGUCCUGCGUCUCCCGCCUCUGGAGCAGCCCGGCUUCUGUCAACACAGGCGCUGUUUACAGUGGCCGCGGCUGUGACCUUCAGGGCCGGGAGGACGGCUGCCCUGGUGGAGUCAGGCUCUGCUUCCACGCUCACACUCGGGGCCUCGUUAUUCUCCAAAAUACUGAGGAAUGGAGACCCACCCCGGGGCUUGAAGGAGGGCUCCCACGUCCUGAGCUCCCGGUGUGACCCUCGGAGGCAAUGGGGCGUCUUCCUCUCGGAGCCGCUUCUCCUGUGCAGGUUGGCUCAGACGUUGCCUCCCCUGAGGGGCCCCUGUGUGCCUCAUCUAACACCACCCUCACCUCCCCUGUUUUAUUCAUCUGCCCUGACCCCAAGGUCAUCUGCAGUGACCUUGUUGCUGUGUUUCCUUGUUUUUAUUUAUUUCUUUAUAUUUUUUGGCUGCCCCCUGGGGCAUGUGGGAAUCUCAGUUCCACGACUGGGACUUGAACCUGUGGCCCUGUGUUGGAAGCGUUCCUCAUGCCUCUUCAAGAAUCUCCUAUCAGUAGGACCCUGGCUCUGUGGGGGACGGAUUGACUACAAACAGCACAGUGGAAUUUGUAGGGUUGGGAGUGGAGUGGGGUUGUUUUAUUGUCGGUUGUGGUGGAGUUAUAGGACUUAAUGAAGUUGCCCAAACUCACAGAACUCUGUACCCAAAAGGAUGAAUUUUACUGAAUGUAAAUAGUAGUACUUUACUUGAAAAAAAAAAAAUGUUUACAAGUGAUAAGGCCAAGGGUGAGGCCAAGAAUAAUUAAUGCAGGUUUGGGGAAGAAAUGGGAAGCGAGGAUCCGGAAGUCUUCCUGGAGGUGGUGGUCCUCACACUGAGACUAGAGAAACUGUUUGUUGAACUUGAACCGGGAGGAGAGGAGAGAGGGCGGGAUUUCAGGCAGAGGAACAGCAGGAGUAACACAGUUCUGCAGAAGCUGAAGGCUGGAUGCGCCCGGAGGGGAAGGCAGGCCUGGCUCCAUUCCUGCAGGGCCAGCUCAGUCUUGCUCAGGCAUUUGGACUUCAGAGUGACCUCGUUGGCUUCUGGUUUGGAAAACUCACCAUGGAGCAGGAGGGUGGGAUGAGGGAGCCAGGCUAAAGGCGGGAGGGCUGGUCCAGAUGUUCUUUGCCUAACAGUGUACAUCCUUGACUGAGGCAUUUUGUCAUUUUGUCGCUCCCAGACAUUAAGCAAGCACGUGCCACUUCACCAGUAGAAUGCAAGAGGCCCAGGGCAGUUUCAGCCUGUUCUUGUCUCCCCAGCUUCUGUUAACAGUGUUGGCAGGUGGCAAGUGCUUGGCUAAUAUCUGUUGAGUGACAGAGUGGGCUUUCAUUGAGCAGAGUGCAUUGGAGAUUCAUCCUUGAUCUCACGUCUAGCAGUGUUUUCUUCUCUUUUAUCCAAGGGUGCUGUUUCCAUGUAUGAACGUUUGUUUAUCCCUUCACCAGCUGAAAGACCUUAGUGCUGUUUCCAGUUAUUGGUUAUACAGUGUUAGUCACUCAGUGAUGUCUGACUCUUUGUGAUCCCAUGGACUGUAGCCCACCAGGCUUCUCUGUCCGUGGGAUUCUCCAGGCAAGAAGAGUGGAGUGGGUUGCCAUUUCCUUCUCCACGGGAUCGUCCCAACCCAAGGAUCGAACUUGGGUCUCCUGCAUUAUAGGCAGAUUUUUUUUUACCAUCUGAAUCACCAGGGUGGCGCAUGCUGCUGUAAACAUUAGGGUACAGAUCUUCGCAUGAUUGUAUGUUUUCGUUUCUCUUGGGUAAAUACCUAGAUGUGGGAUUGCUAUGUGAUAGUAAGUGUGUACUUCACUUGUUAGAAUGAACUGCCUAGCUGUCUUCUGAAGAGGCUGCACCAUUUUGCACUCCCGUCACUGGCUCCACGAUGUGUUUCUUCCUUGUUGUUUCAGCAGAAUGCGCUGAUGUACACGCUAGAGGGUGCAGAGGAGUCAUGACUGGGGUGGCUAACUUGCAGAUUCCCCAGGCCCUACCCUCGAGGCAUCCCUGGGUGUGUCUUAGACCUCCCUGAGAGCCCCCAGGAGAAGCAGGAGUCUUUUGUAGGGGCAGAAAGAACCCCAGAUCUUGACGCAGGCACUUGGUUUCAGUGUCCAGCUCUGCCGCUAGCUUCUGGGUCACCUCUGUGAAUCAUCCGUCGCCUCCGAGCCUCAGUUUCCUCAUUAGUAAAAUAGAUGUGAAAAUCACUGAGCUUCCUAGUUUGCUGUGAGGGCUUAAUGCGUUACUGUGUGAAGGGGCCUGGUUCUAGGUAGGUAUUCAAUAAAUGUUACCGAUUUUGGUCAACUGCAAAGAUUUUAAAUGCUUCCUGCUCCCUUUAGCUAACGGCCUUAUAUUUUAAUGUUUUUAUUGAUGCGUGGCAUAAGGAAGAAAGUGCCCUGAAGACAAGUGUACAGUUCAGUGAAUUCUCACACGUAGAACUCAUCCGUGACGCCAACGCCCCACCAAAACGGGACGUGACCACAUCCCUGGGGCUCCCCUCAGUUCACGCUCAUCAACCGCCUUCCAGACUGACCUCUCCUGGACCUGUGACUGUAACGGCCUUGAUUGUGAAACACUUUUGUUUUUCUAGUAUAGCUAAGAUGUGCUCAGUGAAGCUUAUGUUGAAAACACGGAAGGCAGAAGCAUAGAGACAGCCUGUUAACAUAUUGAACAGCCUUUUAAAAUGUUAAUUUUUUAAUUGAGAUCUAACAUAAGAUUGCACAGGUUGUAAGCAUAAGGCCCAAUAUAUUUUCACUGGGUGACCACCUCACGUUAAUCACCAAAUUGAAAUUGAGAACAAUACGGCAAGAACCGCUGUUCCAAGGAGAUUGAUCAGCUUUGCCCAAACAGCCUUGUUAAUCUUAUUUAUAGUUUUUGAUAAUUUAUUUUAUUGAAAGAUAGUUGAUUUACAAUGUUGCAUUAACUUCUGCUGCACAGCAAAUUCACUUAGUUAUACCUACAUAUACACAUAAAUGUAUAUAUAUAUUCAUACAUAUAUGAACACACACACACACACUCUCUGUUCCACAUUCUUUACCAUUUGGCCUAGAGCAGGAUAUUGAAUUUAGUUCCCUCUGCCACACAGUAGGACCUUGUUGCUUAUCCCUCCAAUAGAUAAUAGUGGGCAUCUCCUAACCCCAGCUCUCACUCCAUCCCUACCCCCGGCUCCUCCUAGGCAAUGACAAGUCUGCUCUCUGUGUCCAUGAGUCUGUCUCUUAAAUAAGCUUGUUGGUGUCCUGUUUUAUUUUUUAUUAUUAUUUUUGAUAUUAUUUUAUGUACUUGACUGUUACGGGUCUAACUGCAGCAUGUAGUAUCUUUAGUUUCGCCACGUGGGAUCUAGUUCCCUGACCAGGGACUGGACCUGAGCCCCCGCAUUGGGAGCGUGGAGACUUAGCUGCUGGACCACCAAGGAAGUCCCCUGUUUGUACCAUAUUUUGGGUUCCACAAUGUAAGCGAUACCAUACGAUAUUUGUCUUUGUCUGUCUGACUUCACUUCACUUAGUAUGAUAAUCUCUAGGUCCAACCGUGUUGCUGACAAUGGCAUCAUUUCAUCCUUUUUUGUGGUUGAGUAAUAUUCCAUCGUGUAUGUGUACCACGUCUUUAUCCAUUCAUCUGCCUGUCGAUGGUUGUUUCCAUAUCUUGGUUAUUGUGACUAGUGCUGCUACGAACAUAGGGGUGCAUGUAUCUUUUUGGAUUAGUUUUGUCUGGAUAUAUGCCCAGGAGUGGGAUUGCUGGAUCAUAUGAUAAUUCUAAUUUUAGUUUUUUGAGGAACCUCCAUACUGUUUUCCACAGUGGCUGCACCAACUUACACUCCCACCAACAGUGUAGGAGGGUUCCCUUUUCUCCAUGCCCUCUCCAGCAUUUGUUAUUUGUUGACUUUUAAAUAAUGGCUGUUCUGACUGGUGAGGUGGUCCCUCAUUGUAGUUUUGAUUUGCAUCUCUCUGAUAAUGAAGUGUUGAGCAUAUUUUCAUGUGCCUGUCGGCCAUCUGUAUGUCUUCUUUGGAGAAAUGUCUAUUUAGGUCUCCUGCCUAUUUUUUGAGAAGCCCAAAUUAAAACUACAGUAACAGAGGCUUUUCCACGCAGCCCUCGAUUUGAAUAGCAGACUCCUACAACUCAAUAGCAAAAAACAAGCAAACAAAACCCAAACAACCAGCUUUAAAAAUGGGUAAAACAUGACAGCAAUGAUAAAUCCAUAGGAAAAUUUGAAGGUGAUGGGUAUUUAUUGCCUUGAAUGCGCUGACGGUUUCAGAGGGGUAUGCAGAAGUCCAAAUUCAUCAGACUGUAUACUUUGAUUGUGUACAGGUUUUUUUUUUUUUUUUGUAUACUAAUUAUACCUCAAUAAAGCUGGGAAAAAACGAGGUGUGUGGGUCUAACCACUCCCAUGCAGAAGCUUCUGUGUCGGGCCUGACCCUGACCAGGUCUGGAAGCCAGUUCUGGGUGGUACUUCCUCUCAGAGUCCUGCCACCCAGCAGCUGAGACUCAGCUUGUCCCCAGGGGACAUGCACUUCUCUGAACAAUAUCAGGAAAGGAAGCCAAACUCAAAGCCUCUCAGGGGUUUUCUGGCUGUUUUUGACUGUGGGGGUGGAGGGAGGAGGCUGGCAAGGCGCUGGGGCAGGGCAGUGGGACUUGGCCUGGCCGCUGCAGUGACUGGCAGGGCAAGGAGGGCCAGGUUCAGAAGACCUACUCUCUAAUAAUGAUUAUUAUGUGAGCAACUGCUGCUUUAUUGAAGGCUGUGUUGUGCUAAGCUGUGUUAGCCAUUCAUUUUUUAAACAGCCUUCUAAGGUAGGGUUUUUUUUUUUUUUCCCCAAUAGCUUUAUUAAGACAUAAUUCACAUCACAUACAGUUCACCCAUCUAAAGCCUACAGUUCAGUGGCCUUUAGUAUCUUCACAGAGCUGUUCAGCCAUUAUCACAAUCUAUUUUAGAAUAUUUUCAUCCCUCCACAGAGAAACCCUGUACCCCUUCCAAGAGCCCCCAUGUCCCCACCAGUCCCAGGCAACUACUAAUAUACUUUCUAUCCCUGUUCUUGGUAUCCCAAAAGUAGAUUGAAUGAUGGGGAAAUUGAAGGUUCAGAGAGGGUAACUGACCAGCUUAAGGUCACACAGCUAAGGAAGUGGUCUUGGAAUUUGAACCCAGAUCCCCAUGUCCUCCAGAUCCACGCUUUCUCACUGCAGCAUGGGCCUUUUUCUUCUUCCUGUCAAUAACAAUAUUGAAAAUAGUCAACCGUGAUGGCUGAACUGUUUUGCCUGUUUUAUCGCUCCGUUGUCUCAUUUAAUCAUUAUAAUCACCCCUGGGAGGUAGGUACAGUUAUUAUACCCAUUUUUGCAAAGAGGGAAACUGAGGCACAGGGUGGGGGGUGCUAAUGGUCCAAUACAUCAUGGCUGCUAGCAAAUGGAAGAGGGUUAUGAAGGAAAACAUGAUCAUCCUUGAGGACUGGUGAGGGACAGAAUAGCAAGUCCAGACAAUGCUGAUUAAAACACAGUUUUCUUUCAGAUUAUUCCCUCCCUCCCCCUUCUUCUUUCUUUUUAUAU